RNAcentral lists this ribosomal RNA (19 nucleotides) under Uvigerina peregrina. RNAcentral's name for it is "partial 28S ribosomal RNA". Lineage: Eukaryota; Foraminifera; Rotaliida; Uvigerinidae. The record is from RNAcentral.
CACAUUAGUCUCGAGUGAG